GAUGAAGAACGUAGCGAAAUGCGAUAAGUAGUGUGAAUUGCAGAAUUCAGUGAAUCAUCGAAUCUUUGAACGCACAUUGCGCCUCCUGGUAUUCCGGGAGGCAUGCCUGUUCGAGCGUCAUUAAAAUCACUCAAGCUUAGGUUUACCUAUUGCUUGGUCUUGGAGAUGGAAGCCAAUUCAUCGGAAUCCUCUUCGAAAUCCAAUGGCGAAGACCCUUGCUCUCCCAAGUGUAGUAAUAACUUAUGUCACUGAAGGAAGCGAGAAAUCUUCCGCCGUAACCCCCAUAUUUUCUAUGAUUGACCUCGGAUCAGGUAGGGAUACCCGCUGAACUUAAGCAUAUCAAUAAGCGGAGGA
Molecule: unclassified non-coding RNA, 354 nt
Filed under: soil metagenome
Description: partial contains 5.8S ribosomal RNA, internal transcribed spacer 2, and large subunit ribosomal RNA
Rfam family: 5.8S ribosomal RNA (bases 1-120)
Source: RNAcentral